GAUGAAGAACACAGCGAAAUGCGAUAACUAAUGUGAAUUGCAGAAUUCAGUGAAUCAUCGAGUCUUUGAACGCACAUUGCGCCCCCUGGUAUUCCGGGGGGCAUGCCUGUCCGAGCGUCAUUGCUGCCCUCAAGCACGGCUUGUGUGUUGGGCUCCGUCCCCCCGGGGACGGGCCCGAAAGGCAGCGGCGGCACCGAGUCCGGUCCUCGAGCGUAUGGGGCUUUGUCACCCGCUCUGUAGGCCCGGCCGGCGCCAGCCGACAACCCAUCAUCCUUUUCAGGUUGACCUCGGAUCAGGUAGGGAUACCCGCUGAACUUAAGCAUAUCAAUAAGCGGAGGA
Molecule: unclassified non-coding RNA, 339 nt
Filed under: soil metagenome
Description: partial contains 5.8S ribosomal RNA, internal transcribed spacer 2, and large subunit ribosomal RNA
Rfam family: 5.8S ribosomal RNA (bases 1-120)
Source: RNAcentral